AACGAUGAAGCUUCUAGCUUGCUAGAAAGUGGAUUAGUGGCGCACGGGUGAGUAAUGCAUAGGUUAUGUGCCCCAUAGUCUGGGAUAGCCACUGGAAACGGUGAUUAAUACCGGAUACUCCUUACGAGGGAAAGUUUUUCGCUAUGGGAUCAGCCUAUGUCCUAUCAGCUAGUUGGUGAGGUAAUGGCUCACCAAGGCUAUGACGGGUAUCCGGCCUGAGAGGGUGAACGGACACACUGGAACUGAGACACGGUCCAGACUCCUACGGGAGGCAGCAGUAGGGAAUAUUGCUCAAUGGGCGAAAGCCUGAAGCAGCAACGCCGCGUGGAGGAUGAAGGUUUUAGGAUUGUAAACUCCUUUUGUUAGAGAAGAUUAUGACGGUAUCUCACGAAUAAGCAC
RNAcentral lists this ribosomal RNA (399 nucleotides) under uncultured Helicobacter sp. RNAcentral describes it as "bacterial SSU rRNA". It matches the Rfam family "Bacterial small subunit ribosomal RNA", at positions 65 to 493 of the family's 1533-position model. The record is from RNAcentral. Lineage: Bacteria; Pseudomonadati; Campylobacterota; Epsilonproteobacteria; Campylobacterales; Helicobacteraceae.